Molecule: ribosomal RNA, 467 nt
Filed under: uncultured bacterium
Lineage: Bacteria
Description: bacterial SSU rRNA
Rfam family: Bacterial small subunit ribosomal RNA
Source: RNAcentral
UCAGAACGAACGCUGGCGGCAUGGAUUAGGCAUGCAAGUCGAACGAAGCAGCAAUGCUUAGUGGCGCAAGGGUGAGGAACACGUGAGUGACCUACCCGCAAGUUUGGAACAGCUCCUGGAAACGGGAAUUAAUACCGGACGUGAUCAAUGAGCUGCACGGUUUAUUGAUUAAGCAGCAAUGCGCUUGCGGAUGGGCUCGCGUCCCAUUAGCUAGUUGGUGAGGUAACGGCCCACCAAGGCCAUGAUGGGUAGCUGGUCUGAGAGGACGACCAGCCACACUGGGACUGAGAACUGCCCAGACUCCUACGGGAGGCUGCAGUCGAGAAUUUUGGGCAAUGGACGAAAGUCUUGACCCAGCAAUGCCGCGUGCGGGAUGAAGGUCUUCGGAUUGUAAACCGCUGUUUGGAGGGACGAAAAUUGACGGUACUUCCAGAGGAAGCCACGGCUAACUACGUGCCAGCAGCCGC